AUGAACGCUAGCGAUAGGCUUAACACAUGCAAGUCGAGGGGCAGCGAGGGUAGCAAUACCUGUCGGCGACCGGCGCACGGGUGAGUAACGCGUAUGUAACCUGCCCGCAACAGGGGGAUAACCCGGCGAAAGUCGGACUAAUACCGCAUAAAACAGGGGUCCCGCAUGGGAAUAUUUGUUAAAGAUUUAUCGGUUGCGGAUGGGCAUGCGUACCAUUAGGUAGUUGGUGAGGUAACGGCUCACCAAGCCUUCGAUGGUUCGGGGUUCUGAGAGGAAGGUCCCCCAGACUGGUACUGAGACACGGACCAGACUCCUACGGGAGGCAGCAGUGAGGAAUAUUGGUCAAUGGGCGAGAGCCUGAACCAGCCAAGUCGCGUGAAGGAGGACUGCCCUAUGGGUUGUAAACUUCUUUUACAAGGGAAGAAAAUGAGAUACGUGUAUUUUAUUGCAUGUACCUUGGGAAUAAGCAUCGGCUAACUCCGUG
This 484-nucleotide ribosomal RNA is filed under the name uncultured bacterium. Its description in RNAcentral is "partial 16S ribosomal RNA". It matches the Rfam family "Bacterial small subunit ribosomal RNA", at positions 29 to 507 of the family's 1533-position model. The record is from RNAcentral.